Molecule: long non-coding RNA, 598 nt
Organism: Alligator sinensis (Chinese alligator)
Lineage: Eukaryota; Metazoa; Chordata; Crocodylia; Alligatoridae
Exons: 4
Source: RefSeq, a predicted model, not a curated record
AGCAGCCAAGGAAGAAGGAGAAGCCUGAGGCAGGAGCAAUGUCUGACACUGCUGGGGGAUGAAGAACCCCGGGGUGAUGCAUUCUAAAGUGCUGUGAAUGUACUUUCUUUCAUCUGCCAACAUCUCUCUUGUAAAACGGCAAACCAGAAAUCUAAUCCAGCAGAUGUGCUGCUUGUUGCAGCAAAUGAUGGUGAUGGUCUAGUGACUUGGCAUAAAAACCGUUGGGGAAAAAGACAGCAUAACUCCAAAAGAGAGGGAGAGCCAGCUUAAUUACAAACCUGAGAGCUACUUCACUGCUCUGGAAUGCUUUUGGAAGUAAAGGAUACCCUGAGGAAUCCAGGAUCCCCUGCUACCAUCUGCAUGGCCUUGGUUUCUGCUUCAGAUCCCUUCACUUUCUCAAAUGGCUGCAAUGGAAAGGCCUCACCUUGAGUAGCAGGUCCAGUCUGGGGCACAACAGACGCAGGAAAAACAGAAUGACAAAAAAAAACCUGGAGGUCUAGAAAACAUCCCAUAUGAAGAAAGGUUGGAAGAACUGGGAUAAUUUUGCCUGGAGAAGAGAAGACCAAGGGGUGUAAAUUGGUAACAGUCAUCAAAUACA